AAGCGUUAAAGCUCCGGUAAAUACAGACCAAUAAUAAAGACAAUACACUCCCCACCCCCUAAAAAUAUUAAGCUAUCCUAUGCACACAUAGGAGAAACAAUGCUAAAAUCAGUAAUAAGAGGGCCCAAGCCCUCUCCUAGCACAUGUGUAAGUCAGAACGGACCGACCACUGACAAUCAACGGACCCAAGCAGAGAGAAAAAGAACAAACUACAAAAAACAAGAAAAAUCUAUUUAAUACCACAAACCGUUAACCCAACACAGGAGUGCCUAAAGGAAAGACUAAAAGGAGAAGAAGGAACUCGGCAAACACAAACCCCGCCUGU
This 325-nucleotide ribosomal RNA is filed under the name Anguilla japonica (Japanese eel). Its description in RNAcentral is "partial 16S ribosomal RNA". The record is from RNAcentral. Lineage: Eukaryota; Metazoa; Chordata; Actinopteri; Anguilliformes; Anguillidae.